UACAGAGGUCCCGAGCGUUGUUCGGAUUCACUGGGCGUAAAGCGUGCGCAGGCGGUUGUGCAAGACCGAUGUGAAAUCCCCGGGCUCAACCUGGGAAUGGCAUUGGUGACUGCACGGCUAGAGUGUGUCAGAGGGGGUAGAAUUCCACGUGUAGCAGUGAAAUGCGUAGAGAUGUGGAGGAAUACCGAUGGCGAAGGCAGCCCCCUGGGAUAACACUGACGCUCAUGCACGAAAGCGUGGGAGCAAACAGG
RNAcentral lists this ribosomal RNA (251 nucleotides) under uncultured bacterium. Its description in RNAcentral is "partial 16S ribosomal RNA". It matches the Rfam family "Bacterial small subunit ribosomal RNA", at positions 524 to 776 of the family's 1533-position model. The record is from RNAcentral.